Molecule: long non-coding RNA, 4637 nt
Organism: Vespula vulgaris
Lineage: Eukaryota; Metazoa; Arthropoda; Insecta; Hymenoptera; Vespidae
Exons: 8
Source: RefSeq, a predicted model, not a curated record
UUUAUACGGAACGUUAUAAUAAAUACGAUCUUUUUUAUCGUUCUUCUCUCUUUACGAACAAACGUUUGAGUGAAAUGAUUUCAAAUAAAAUCGAAGAUAUUCAAAUCAGAUUUCACGAAGAUCGAAAGAAUGAUCUCCGAUUGUUGGAACUUGUUCGUUUCGAUCUGUUCGAAAAAUAACUAUCUUACCUGAGAAUUCUCUAUCGUAAGACGUGACGAAAAAUCUUUCGAUGUAUCUACAAAUUAUAGGACGUCUAUGGGAAAAGAAAAAAGAAAAAAAUAUGUUACAAGUUUAUCUCAACAUCGCUGUUAAGCACUUUGAUUCUUACUACUAACGUUCUACUUUUCACAGAUUAAAGGAGGUUCUUAAAGAAAUGAUUUACGAGCAACACACCCGGUGUGGUAUUUAAACGACGAAGGAUCCACCCUCCCCUCCUUUCGUAUACCCUUUUCGUAUACCACUGCUUCACUUCUGUGCCAGCCACGUUGAAAAGUGUUUUCCGCAUUAUGAAGAUACGAGGUUAUAUUAUUAUUACGGACUUGCGAGCGGAGGCUCAAGCGCGCAACACUUUCCGCCUUGCGAGAGCUAAUUAAGCGCGUCUUGAUGUAAUAACGACCUAAAUGCAGAUGGAGAGACUCUUAUUCCUAAAAUUAAGUGCACUAGGGUCGUCCAAUGAAAAUCACCGGAUGGACCAUACUUUAGCUUCAUUUUCGUGCUCACUUCGAACUUUGCAAAUGACUUAACGAAUGUCGUAAGCACUCGUUCGUUCAAAUGAAACGAUUAUAACGAGUUUCAUUGGUCGUUUCAUUUUCAAAAUGAUGUUUCAUUCUAAAGAGUAAUCGGCAAUUCCAAGUCGACAGAUACGACAGAGCACUUGUACGAGUAAAGUCAAAUUCCAAAGUUGCAAAUCGCUACGUCCGAGAUGGUCGAAGCGGACGGUCUUAAUUAUAACGUCUCAAGUAACGAGGGUUGGCAUGGGUCGCGACGUUAAUAUAUGGGUAAGAGAACCUAAACACAGCCGUGCCAUUGUACGUACCGCGGUGUUGGAUCUGCCAAGGCAUUAAUAGUCUCACGUGACGUAAUUAACUCGCGACCACCGAAUUUCCGGCGUUAUAACGUGAUGUAUAUUGUGGCGAAGAGGGUGUGUUCUCUCUCUCUCUCUCUCUCUCUCUCCUUUCCUUCCUCCCCUCUCACCCUCUAUCUCUCUCUUUGUUGUUUUGUUUCAGAAGAUUCAGAAUUCGUCGAGCGAUUAUGAAUCAAGUAGGAUUCGUAUGGCCACCUGUCGCUUGGAUACCGAUAGACGUUGCAAUCCAGGUUGAUCCUAACGCUAUACAACUACCGAAGACCUUUAAAUCUUACCGAUUACGCGCGUAUACUUUACAAAAUAGAAGAGUACAGAAAAUGCGGCACAUGCAUAUUUAUUUUCUCUACUAUAAAUAUAUGUAUGUAUAUACACAUACGAGUUACACGAGAUAUACGGGCAGUAGUUAUGUAUUUACAGGCACGAGACAAGUGUUUCAAAAGAUACCGAUCGAUAUAUAUAUAUCCUUUUUGAUUUUUAAUGGCCACGUAAUACGAUUUUGGCUAGGAAACUACGAUUUUAGUAACUCGUUCAUCGCACAAUUACGUCCAUGAUGUAACCUUAGGAAAAAUAAUUGCAACAGCUACAACGGGUGACGCAAGUAUUUCGGAUAUUUCGAGUAGACGCGUACUCGAAUUUAUCUUGUAAAAAGGAUCGAAAGAAGGACGCUUAAUGUAACAAAGAUCAUUGUAGAAAGCGAAGAAAAUGAGGAUGCUCCGUUACAAGAAUCUUCGGAGCAAGAACAUUCUUGCCAAUAAAUUCCAUUCUCGUAGACCCCCCAAUUACAGACACCUGUAACUCCGGUACUGGAGACAGAUGCACACCUUCGUAUCACUUGCCGCCAUCUACCGUUCCCUUUAAGAAUGACAAAUGAGUAAACAUAAAGGCAAAACGUCGUAGACCAAUAAAAAUAAUAGAGUAAAAACUAAAGUGAAUUUGGAAAAGAAGUUUAUAAAACAUUGAAAUUGAUCGAAGCACGUUUUAAGGAAUAUUAAUCAAAUCGAAGAAAAAUCUAUCGACGAAAAGUGAACACGUAUGAACUCACAUAUGAAGCCACGAGGACUUUGCUGCGUCAACUUAACGCAAAACGUGCCAGGCGUAUGAGAUUCGUCGCUACUGCAUUCCACCGGAAUGUUCCUUUCCUUGUCGAAUUUUCCAUAAGCUCCACAAAGAUCUUCAUCUUUUUGAUCGAUCAGGAAAUUCGAAAGUAAAACACGUAGGGCGCUGCUGUUUCCCAAGAUGGUUAUGCCUCGGCAUUCACGAACGGCCAUUGUUCGUGAAUAGCGUCACGAUUCACUCACGAUAUUUGACUUCUGCGACGAUUUUAUUCUUACCUAUCGUCACGAAUAAUAACAGCGUACAAAUUGUGCUCACGAUACUCUUAUCGAUCGCCAUUUUGACGCCUCGCGACAAAGGAUUUUUCGAUUUCCUUGAAGAACGCGGUCGGCACGCUGCGACGAUCGUGUAUACACUGUACGUACCUGACGUCAUUCAUUGGGUGUUGGUUGGUGUGAGGAAUGGCGAUGACUGUAAACUCCCCUCCCCACUACUUGCGAUGUCUCGUAGUAGCGAGUACGUAUUCAGGCCCGUAGCUAGUAACAUCGAUGCCCUCGUCGAUAUAAACAAUCAUGUUUUCAUGAUUUUUUUUUUUAACGCAACGAAUAUUUUCGAUUGGAAAACAAAAAGGAAAAGACUGAAGAGAUUUAAUUUUAUAAUGAAAGUGAUAUAUACGAAGUAAAUGAUAUACAAAGAAGAAAUUUGUACGUACAUCGUGUAAUACGUGUAAGAAAGAAGACUUAAGAACUAUACUAUUGGAAUUUAUGAUAAAAGAAGAUUGUAUAAAAAAUGAAUAACGAUGAAAUAUCAAACGUGAAGAAGAUAGAUUAUCCCUGAUGUUCCAGUUGAAGAGACUAUUUCAGCAAUGGGAACGUAUUCGUCAAAGGGAAACUUUCCGAAUUAAGAUAAGAGAGACGAGGGAGAUUUGCGAGUACGUGUCUGAAAGCGAAGAGUUCGUGUUACCUUAAUAAUCAUCACGAGAGAUUUGGAGAACGGAAGUGAAGCGGUAAUAAGAGAGGACAAAAGGUACGACGUUAUUACCGGCGGCAGUGAGUCGUGACUGGUCCCAAAGGAUGUCUCCUUACAAGGCUAGACGGAACUGUAAUUGUGUCUUAUCUGUCUUGUGUUCGCCUUUCCGCAUUAGCUUUCAUCAAACGUCUCCAAAAUAAAAAUCUUAUCUCGUAAAUGGUUAAAUAAUUAAAGUUUAUUUUUCCUUCUUUAUUCGCGACUUUAUUAAGAUCAAAAAGCAAAGAAAUCAAGGCUAAACUUGUUGACCGUGAUUACAAAAUCAAGGUCAAGUUAAAUUUCCUGUUUAUAGUCGAUGUUCACUGAUAGCGAUCAUGCCUUUCUGACUCCGAAAAGACAGGCUCGCUGGCACGAUCGAUAAAUUAUUCAAAACGACCCUCUAUGAUCUAUGAAGGCGCCCUUAAGGCUGGCACCAACGAUCUAUCCUCCCUUCCUCUUGCCACUCCUUUCUCUCGUCCAUUCGUUCCUCAACACAUCCGCUCCUCUCUCGUUCCCUCUGCCAUUUCCUCAUCCCUCUGGCAGCAACAUCACCCCGAGGGAAUUCCUACUUUUCUGACAGCCGCCGCCGCAUUUAUCCCAUCCAGCAUUUUCAGACAAGCUUUCAAAGGAAGCCCAGAAUCCAAUAAUUCCGAUAACGGGAGACUCUCUUUCGUCUAUACGGGGUGUCCGAAUAAUUACGUUCCUGUCCACGUGUCAUCGCCAAGUUUCAGUAGAGAAGGCAAUCGAUUGAAUCAAACUUGAAUCUUCUUCACGUCUACUUCUUUUUCAAGGAUAGUAGACGAUCUUAACGAACGGCUACUCUCGAUGAAGAUAAUUACUCGUUCUUGGCCACCCAGUAUCGGGCAAAAGUAAGCGACCCUUCGGCAAGGGCAGGAAGAAACGUGGCUCUACGCCAAAUGGAUCUGAAGGGCAACUGUCGCGAGAUAAAAGAUAACUCAUCGAGACGUCGGUGUCCGUCGAGUCGAUUUAAAACGAUUUUAUCGAUGGACCAACCGCCGCACCUUUAACGUUAAAUGAGUUAUACGAUCCUGGUCUAACGAUGCAAAGGGUUCCCUUCUUCUCCCUUUUCCGACCUUCGAAAGUAUAUAGAGAAGAUCUCCUCUGUCAAAGCUGUUAUCGGAGAUCCUUUCUUGUUGACUUCGAUAGAAAGUAAAAGUCCAACGAUAAAAUAAUUCGAAAAUCGAAUACGACUUAUCGUAGAGAUAAUUUUUUAAAGAAACGAAUUAUUUCGCAUACUCUGAAUGUUUCCACGAAUUAAUUCCAAUUCAAUAUGAUUUGACACUUUGUAAGAACCAAAAUAACUGGAAUAUCACGCGCGAUUUCCCGCAUAAUGUAGAUAUCAGACAACGAUACGGAUUUACAUCGAAUGACGCACGUGUUCGUAUGCGAAAUAGCAUUAUUUCAAAAUAGAGAAUUCGUUAAAUGUACCUACGUGUAUUACUGACUCUUGGACGAAUAAAUCUACAGAUUUGUU